GACGAACGCUGGCGGCGUGCCUAAUACAUGCAAGUUGAGCGAUGAAGAUUGGUGCUUGCACCAAUUUGAAGAGCAGCGAACGGGUGAGUAACGCGUGGGGAAUCUGCCUUUGAGCGGGGGACAACAUUUGGAAACGAAUGCUAAUACCGCAUAAUAACUUUAAACAUAAGUUUUAAGUUUGAAAGAUGCAAUUGCAUCACUCAAAGAUGAUCCCGCGUUGUAUUAGCUAGUUGGUGAGGUAAAGGCUCACCAAGGCGAUGAUACAUAGCCGACCUGGGAGGGUGAUCGGCCACAUUGGGACUGAGACACGGCCCAAACUCCUACGGGAGGCAGCAGUAGGGAAUCUUCGGCAAUGGACGAAAGUCUGACCGAGCAACGCCGCGUGAGUGAAGAAGGUUUUCGGAUCGUAAAACUCUGUUGGUAGAGAAGAACGCUGGUGAGAGUGGAAAGCUCAUCAAGUGACGGUAACUACCCAGAAAGGGACGGCUAACUACGUG
RNAcentral lists this ribosomal RNA (497 nucleotides) under uncultured bacterium. Its description in RNAcentral is "partial 16S ribosomal RNA". It matches the Rfam family "Bacterial small subunit ribosomal RNA", at positions 28 to 507 of the family's 1533-position model. The record is from RNAcentral.